GCGGGAGUAGCUCAGUUGGUAGAGCGUUGCCUUCCCAAGGCAAAUGUCGCGAGUUCGACCCUCGUCUCCCGCUCCA
This 76-nucleotide transfer RNA is filed under the name Achromobacter xylosoxidans. RNAcentral describes it as "tRNA-Gly". It matches the Rfam family "tRNA". From Rfam's summary of the family: Transfer RNA (tRNA) molecules are approximately 80 nucleotides in length. Their secondary structure includes four short double-helical elements and three loops (D, anti-codon, and T loops). Further hydrogen bonds mediate the characteristic L-shaped molecular structure. tRNAs have two regions of fundamental functional importance: the anti-codon, which is responsible for specific mRNA codon recognition, and the 3' end, to which the tRNAs corresponding amino acid is attached (by aminoacyl-tRNA synthetases). tRNAs cope with the degeneracy of the genetic code in two manners: having more than one tRNA (with a specific anti-codon) for a particular amino acid; and 'wobble' base-pairing, i.e. permitting non-standard base-pairing at the 3rd anti-codon position. RNAcentral also lists the same sequence under 1 other name. Lineage: Bacteria; Pseudomonadati; Pseudomonadota; Betaproteobacteria; Burkholderiales; Alcaligenaceae. The record is from RNAcentral.